This 492-nucleotide ribosomal RNA is filed under the name uncultured bacterium. RNAcentral's name for it is "partial 16S ribosomal RNA". The stretch from base 98 to 492 matches the Rfam family "Bacterial small subunit ribosomal RNA", at positions 1 to 507 of the family's 1533-position model. The record is from RNAcentral.
GGGGGGGGGGGGGGGGGGGGGGGGCGGGGGGGGGUCGGGGGGCGGGGGGGUGGGGGCGGGCGGGGAGGGGGGGCGAGGGAGUGGGGGGGGAGGAGUGCAGAGGCAGCUACUAUGGGGGGGGGGGGGGCGUGGGGCGGCGUACGCUAGUCCCGCAUCCCACCUACGGGUGAGGGCCGGGGGAGUUCGAGCCUUGCGCGCAUGCAUGCGACGAUGACGGAUUAGCGGGUUGGCUGGUGAAAGGCCCACCAAGGCGACGAUCCGUAGCUGGUCUGAGAGGAUGAUCAGCCACACUGGAACUGAGACACGGUCCAGACUCCUACGGGAGGCAGCAGUGGGGAAUAUUGGACAAUGGGCGCAAGCCUGAUCCAGCCAUACCGCGUGGGUGAAGAAGGCCUUCGGGUUGUAAAGCCCUUUUGUUGGGAAAGAAAAGCAGCAGGUUAAUACCCCGCUGUUCUGACGGUACCCAAAGAAUAAGCACCGGCUAACUUCGUG